CAUCUGCAGCCAGGCGGGCAUUGUCAAUCUGAAGGACAAUCUUGGAGUUUUCAAUGGUGGCACCAAGAAUCUGGAAGGGAAGAGGCAGGCAGUUGGCAUGAGUUU
Molecule: microRNA precursor, 105 nt
Filed under: Cricetulus griseus (Chinese hamster)
Lineage: Eukaryota; Metazoa; Chordata; Mammalia; Rodentia; Cricetidae
Description: mir-492
Source: RNAcentral